UUUUAACACUUUUUGCAUUAUAGAGAUGCUGUCUUAGAUGAGUUUGUCAUCUUUUGGAGAUAGCUAUAUUACCUGAAUCACUUCUUUUAUCCUAUUCUAUAAGUAAUAGAAUGGAAAAACAAAACAAAACAAAACAAAAACACCACCAACAAAACACUUUAGUAACACUUGAAAUGAUAACAUGCAGAUAUUUUCUAUGAUAUAACUUUUUUUUUUGUGGUAUAUAUAAAUUGUAUUUUCACAUUUUACAGGAUUGGUAAUCUAUAUACUAAGAACUGAGGAUUCAUUUCUGUAUCUUGCAAGCUGAACAAGGGAAUACAGGAAAUCUGUAGAAAAACAGCUUCAUUGUGACAGUGUGACUGGACUUUUGGAUGUGUUUUCACAAAUGUGAAAAACAAAACAGAACAACAACAACAACAAACAGACAAAUGCUAUUCAGUAUAUACUGUCUGUUGCACGCCUACUUGUCGUGUACAAUACUGUAUUCUGUUCCUUCUCAGCUAAUGUGAGGGAUAGAGGGUCACCAUCAGUGUCAUGCUCAGAAAGAGUCGCUGUGCUAAUUGAAAAAGUACACUUAAUCCAUCACAAAACUGAGAGAAGAGGUAUCCACAGGAACAUUAUCAGUCAGCUGCCACUGACUGGAAUCCUGGAAAAGAACACAAAACCUUAAUCUACUGAAUAAAGACACUGAUC
This 693-nucleotide long non-coding RNA is filed under the name Anas platyrhynchos platyrhynchos (common mallard). Its description in RNAcentral is "lncRNA (ENSAPLG00000018662.1)". Lineage: Eukaryota; Metazoa; Chordata; Aves; Anseriformes; Anatidae. The record is from RNAcentral.